Molecule: unclassified non-coding RNA, 238 nt
Filed under: Hevea brasiliensis (rubber tree)
Lineage: Eukaryota; Viridiplantae; Streptophyta; Magnoliopsida; Malpighiales; Euphorbiaceae
Source: RNAcentral
AACUGAACCAAAAUAGUAAAAUAAGUUCGGUUUGGUUCGGUUCAAUUCAUAAGGUAAAGGUUUUUUUUAGUCCUGGUUCCAUUCGGUUCGGUUUAGAACCCCCAGUAAUAGUGCACAGCCCUAUUUAUAGGCCUGUUUUCGUUACUCGUGACCGCGACCGCGAUUUGAAACCAUGAAUAUAACCUUAACCUACUUCUCCUAUAAUUAUGCUGAAAUCCCUACUAAAUAGAAUUACAAU